AGCUCCAAUAGCGUAUAUUAAAGUUGUUGCAGUUAAAAAGCUCGUAGUUGGAUUUCUGGUUUGUGUCCCGGGUCGUCCCGAAAUGGGUCUGUACUAGGAGACGCAAGCCAUCCUUGCGGCGAGGCGUUCUGCCAUUUAUUUGGUGGUUCGUUGAGCCGCAUCGUUUACUGUGAACAAAUUAGAGUGUUUAAAGCAGGCAUAUGCCUUGAAUACAUUAGCAUGGAAUAAUAAGAUAGGACUUCGGUAAUAUUUUGUUGGUUCAUUAUUGAGGUAAUGAUUAAUAGGGAUAGUUGGGGGUAUUCAUAUUCAAUUGUCAGAGGUGAAAUUCUUGGAUUUAUGGAAGAUGAACAACUGCGAAAGCAUUUACCAAGGAUGUUUUCA
Molecule: ribosomal RNA, 381 nt
Filed under: uncultured eukaryote
Lineage: Eukaryota
Description: SSU rRNA
Rfam family: Eukaryotic small subunit ribosomal RNA
Source: RNAcentral